Non-coding RNA from Rattus norvegicus (Norway rat), 22684 nucleotides. The record is from RefSeq and is a predicted model, not a curated record. NCBI's taxonomy places the organism in Eukaryota, Metazoa, Chordata, Mammalia, Rodentia, Muridae.
UCUGCCUGUGGAGUUCCUGUUCCCAGUAUCAUCUGCCCCAUUCCAUGGUCUUCCUUAUCUUCUAGGGAAGAGCACAUUCUUUUUCAGAUUUGUGAGAAAGGACUCAGGGGCAUUCUUUUGAGGCAGUCUACUACUCAGUAAGCUUGAAUCCUAAUGUCUGACUUAAUGUGUGAAUGGCUACAGAAUUUUUAACUGGAAGAUGGCUACCAGUGCUUUUAGGUAUUUGGCUGGUCUGCUGCUUCCUCCCAGCAAUGCCUAUUCUCAUGGCCAAGGAACCACAGCUGCUAGCCUAUGGAGAUGUCUCUGGUACACUUUACAGAGCAUUGUCCAGUCUCCAGCAAUCACAGAGACCUUCACUUAAAACAGGUAGAAAGCCUCUUUGGGCACCAAGUGGCGCCUGAACAGGGACCCCAAAGCAAGGCCGACUACAGGACGAUGGAGAUAAGAGAGCUGCAGCGGGAAUCAAGGACUCUUCAGGCCGUACCGCUCGUGCGUCGCUGGAGAGGGAGUCGUGCCAGUGAUUGGAGGGAAAUGGGCAGGAGGUGCAGCUUAGACGGAUGCUGAUCUGCAUGCUGGGGUAGCUGAGAAUAAAUGAAGACUCCAAACAAAGGAAUCAACAUCCACGAGUCCCUGAAGCUCACUGAUGCAGAGGAUAGCAAGGCAGAAGGCAGGUGCUACCCUGGAGCACUCGGGAAGGACAGACUGCUGGAGAGCAAGCCUGCGGCCAGUUGCUCACUUCUUUCCUUCAGUUGAGUAAUGCCUGUAAGCCAGCUCCUGCCCGGUACACUGGGGUUUAUACCUAGAAUUUCAUUCUUGUAGAUGGUACAAAUGACAAACAAAAAAUUUUAAAAAGGUGUGGUUAACCAGAGAGGUGCUGAGAAUCUCAGGGUAGUGAGACGUGUCUGUUCUUACACGAGUGUUAGCACUUGAGCAGAUGCAGGAGAAUCACAGAAAAUAUCAUGUCAAGCAAAGAGCACAGAAACAGCUUCUAAAGAGAACAAGCUCACCAUGUUGGAACACCUUCCUGUUGGAGCCAUAUAACAGCUGACACAUAUAAAAGUCACCUUCCCAGUGACCACGUCCUGAACUUCCCAAGCUGUCAGAACCUCGGAGUUGAUGUUUUAACACUGAGUACUAAAAACAAAUUCUUAUCCCUCCAUUCCUCUACUAGAACUUCUCUGCUUUUCCUCUCCCUUCUUCUCCCUCUCCUUUUUCCAUCUUGGCUCCUGACUCUUUCUUGAUAGGUGCUCAUGUAUGUAUGUAUUUACAGGCAGAUCUUGAAUGUGAACACAUGAACACAUGCAUAUGUGUGCAUGCAUGAGUGUAUGGGUGUACGCAAUUCUCUUUUAAGCUCUCAUUGUGUUGUAUAGUCCAUGAUUAUUCUUUUUCAACAUGAGGCUAGAGCCUUAACUUUAUACUUUACCUUUGUAAAUCAUCUAUCAAUACAUUGAAUGCUUCACACAUGUGCCUUCAUGUUCAUAACACAGAUUGUGUCGUAGGGCUGCCAAUCCUGAACUUCUGGCCCAGUGCACGUGUGCUAGCCAAAGCACUGGAUUGUAUGCCAUACUUACGCAGCAUCCUUCAAAAGAUCUCGUAAAUGAGGAAAAAGCACAUUAAUCUAUGGAGAUAUUUCUAAGGUCCCACCUUACAGUCCAUUUUGACUCCAGAAGGCCUGCCUUUAGAAAUGUGUGGCCCAUCACUCCAUCUGGGUGUUUAAUCUGUAUCCAGUUAUGUCUUCUCUUCUGCUUAUUUGCAGCACCACUCUCUGCAGUCAGAGCCUCACGGCCUCCUUGGACUCCAGCUCUCUGGUCUGUUUCAUGUUUAUACCAGUCAGUUAAGCCCUCAUGCUCAUCAUGACAUGAUUUUUUUUCAUGUUCUCGUGGAUAUUUCUUACUAUGCAGGCCCUUGUUUCCUCUCACACGGAUUUCUCUAACCAGUCUCCUGUGUCCUAUUUCAGAAUAGCUGCAUGCUAAUGAGCCACUCUUCCCAUCACUACCUUCAACAUCUUUCUCUCUGAGAAUAAGCCCAAGCCUCUCUCAUUUUCUUGGUCUCCAGAAUAAAUGGUACAUCCCUAACCUGGCAGAGGCUACCCCAGCUUUUCUAAAGCCAUCUUCUUGGGUGGUUUUCCUCUUACUAUAUCUGUGAACUGACCUGCAAACUUAACUGCCUGCCUCCUACUGAAAUCCCCUCCAGCCUCAAAGACCUCAAAGACCAUGAAGCCUUGGCCUACCAUCUGUGGAGGUCUGCUGUGCUCAAUCAAGUUCUCUAGUUACCCCUCCUCUUGUCUUAUAGUCAUUUAGGAAGACUGUCCCUUCUUUGUAGCUUGUGAGCUUCUUCAGAAUAGCAACUUGUUUUUUCAACUACAUUUCCUCUAAUAUCCAAGAUUAGAUUCAAUAAAAUAGAGGCUAUGUAUAUAAUUAGAGAAACUUGAAUGACAAUCUAGUCAAAGUAAAAGGCUUUUAUGUUUUGUUUGCCCAGAAACCACUUUUCAUUUAAACAGCUUUCAAUAACUGCUUUUAAAGUGCUGCUCAGUCAAGGACAGGGAUGGGUGCUUGCAAUCCCAGCACACACAAAGGAAGGCAAGAACAUGAGUGUUUACCACAUUAGUAUGCUGGUUUCUGGAAACAAGAACUGCAAUUGAACUCAGUGCUAGAGAGUUUGCCUAUCAGGAAUCAGGCCCUGAAUUCAAUCCUUAGUGUCACAAGAAAGAGAAUAAAAAUCAUGUUGCUUUCAUGGGCAUAGGUUCCUGAAAGUUUAUAUUGUGUGUGUACAAUUUGUCUGCAUGCACGCAAAUGUUUAUAUUUGCAUAUGUUUUGUGAUUUUGCUGUGAUAGAUAUAAUGUUAACAAAGGGCAAAGAGACCUUAAAAAUUCACAUAACGCAUUGGGAUAAUCAAUGAAUUCUCAUUAGGUAUUAUCAUUAAUCCAAAUAGACUAUCUACUAUAGAUUAAUAAAUCGAAAUUAAAUAAAUAGAAGUCAAACUAUGGCCGCCAUCUUGGCUUCCUCAUGCUGCUACUAGUUACUCUUAUUAGACUACACAUAUCUGAAAUCAAACAACUUACAAAUAGUAUUACCAACAACUUACAAAUAACGCUUAUUUUUGCUAACAGGUCAAGUGGUUUCAGUCUCUGACUGGUUAGUUCAAUUGCUUCUGGGUCUAUGGCAGGGUAGGAAUGUGUUGACACACUGUUUACCACAUUGCCAGAGCAAAACAGAAGAGCAAGGCCUAGCAUUUGUACUGCUCUUUCCAAGGCAUGCCCAUAUCCUGAAAUGUUUUUCACGAUGUUCUGCCUUUCAAAGAUUCUACCAUCUCUUAUAAUGCCAUAGGCUGGAAAUCAGACUCCUAGAACAUAGGCCUUUGAGUGUCAGGUAUCAAACCAGGGCACCUUUUUUCCUUUGUUGCUGGGAAUGAGCCCAUGACCUGGCUUAUAACAAUCUAGUGUUCUACCCAUGAGUUCCCUGACCAGCCUCAAACCACGCAUUCAACCUCCGGCCCCCAAAGACUUAUGUUCAUUCGUGAAAUGCAAAAAUCCAUGUGGUCCCUUUCACAGGCCCUCAAUGUUUUAAUCCUUUCAUCUUUGUUCAAAAGUUCAACUUCAAUAUCUCCCCCAAGAUCUAAAGCUAACUCAUCUGCAAGUUCUUAUACAAUCAAAAGUUACACUAAACCCAAAGUUUCCAUGAGCAGCCUGGAACAUUCUGGACACAAAGGCUGUGUUCUUCUAAGGCCUGGGCAGCUUCACUUCUGCAGCAGUCCUGACUUCAGUCUCCAUGCCUGCUGUUGGCCAGUAUACAUGCUGUCUACAGCUUACCUCAGGAAGAAUUUUGAACUGCUGGUAUUCCUAGCUUCAUGGGGUCUUCAUUGCAGCUUUGACUUUAUUCUCAUAGGUCCAUACACCAUGCUGGCAGGAGCUAUUUGCAGAAACUCCAAUGCUGCACAACUCAGUGCCUGGCCUUCUAGUUCCUUCUCUGAAAUGUUGAUAGAGCCUCCUUUUAUCUUUUCCUUAUUUUCUUCUGUCUACCUUGCAGAACUAGAAUGACCUGGAGGGUAUCGAAGUCUGCUAUUUGCUGGCUUGCACUUGGGUGCACUGAAACUCCUCCUGAGGCAGCCUUUGAGGGUCUCACUGGCUGAACAGAGGGCAAUGAGUCUCUGGCUGAUCCUGGGUAAGUAGGUCACCUCUGGCUCUGCUCUGAAAAGAGCAAGAAGACAUGGAAGAUUGCUGUGGAAUAGUAUCUUAUGGACAUGCUGGGCCUUGAAAGCUCGAGUUCCCUGCAUAAGUCCAGCACAAGAUGAAGCCAGUCAGAUUCCAACAUGGAUGAAGAGGGACUCAGGAGGAACUGCUGACUAGAUGAGGAUAUACUGGCAGUUGAUGGCUGCUGAGAGAGGAGUUUCUUGUUAAAGGUGUGUCCCCUGGUAAAUUAGCCAUGUGCUACUGGAUAGCUCUACUCCUAUUAGAGCAGCAGUAUUUUGACUCACCGGGUUCCAAAGUAAAAGGAGAAGAGUACAUGAAGUGGGGCAGGAUAUGAGAGCAGGCAUGGGAGUAGCACUGUUUUUGUUACAGUACAUGUUCUACGAUUUUCUUGUUUAUCUAUGAUAUGAUUUGUAGUGCUCAUGCUGAGAACAAUUUCACAAUUGUUCGUGUAUCAUUCAUUUUCUUCAUUCUUUCUCUUAAUAUGUAUUUUUAGGAAUAAUUAGGCAAGGAGAUAAAAAAUUAUCUCCAGGGUUGCUUUAAGUCUAAGUUCUUUCAGCUUGCUAGAAAGACAGGUUUGUAUUUAUCAGAGUGUUAAAUUCUCUGUGGAUGAAGAGAUGCUCAAAAGGAAUUCAAUUUAUAAGAGGUCAGAGAGAGCCUUCCAGAAAUGCUGAAAGAUGUAUAGGAAUGGAACCAUUUUCAGUUUACUGCAAUUAGUAGUGUAACAAUAUUCACAGAGAUGGAGACAGCAGCAAGCUGAAUGGUGCAAAGAAGGGCAGGAGGUUAUGGUUGCCAGGCAUGGAGAGCUGGUUUGGGGGAAGCUUGACAUUUCUACCUUCCGUCUUUGGAUUUUCUUUGGGAUAAGAAAAUAUUGGAAUAUUAAGCCAGGGGCUGCCUUCUACCCACUUUUAGAUACCACAUUGUAUGCUACUUAGGCAACAAGGUUGAACAGACAAGGUAUCAGGUAAUGGGCCCAGUUCUCAGCAACAUGCAAAUAAAAAACCUUAUUGCUAGUCUGUCAGAAGCUUUAGAGUGACCUCCCUCCUUAUAAUAUAAAAGGUUAUUUCCAGUGAGACCAAAAUUUUAAGGUAGAAGAGAGUAAGUAACUUAAAAUGACAUUGCUGACAUUUAAUUAUACUUUAAAGUCUGAGAAGAUUCCAAAAGUUGUCCCAGCUGAGCAAUGAAGAGCUCAUCCUAGAUGUGUAAAUGAUUGUCUGGGUCCUGGAUAAGACCAAAGGAGGAAAUACCACAGCCAACUGGGGUUUCACUAACAUUCCACAGACCUCUCUCUGACCAUCCCUUUGGUCUAGUCUCAGUUCGUUUUCCUGUAAUUUUAGUUCAUUUCCUCAUUUCCACCCUUGGGGAGGGUAAGGAGCAGAUGACUGUAAACCACCAGAUAAAAACCCUUUAUAAACUGAAGACACAUGAACUAAUCUCUCAGCCUGUACCUUCCUGGGGAAGGCAGCUACAGGCCUUGGAUUCCUGAGGCAGAACAAUAGGAACCCUUCAGGUUCUAUUCAUAGACCUGCCCUUCUCAACCCCCUACUUUGUUUUCCCCUAGUGACUGGCCUAUUUUGUCUCACAAGACUACCCACAAACAGGAUGGAUGAACAUCUUCAACUAAUGCAUCCUGCAGAAACACUUUGUUUUGCAUUGCUGAAUCUGUGAAUAGCAUUGAGUGAUGGGUUAUAUUGUUUUGUAAAGCAACAUGUUACUAUUUGAGACCAAGACAAUUCUAUAUACAUUUUGUGUGGAUCUAAUAAGCCAUAUCUUCCAUAUUACUCCAAUACUUCCAACCUCCCAGAAUUCUUGCAGCCAUAGACAUCAGAAAAUCCAUUGGCAUUGAUCUGUUGGAACACAGUAUUUUAUUGGGCCUUUCAUUCACAUGAGUGUCACUUCCAGGUGGAUGAGAUAUACAGCUUCCUUUUCCAGAAAUUGGCAGAGACUGUGGUAUAGACUUUGUAUUUGUAGAUAAGUCUUGAGUACACUGGCCAGAAUUUGUCCUAUGGAGUUAGACACUAUAGUCUCAAUCUGGUAACAAGAUAGUACUAGCUGAAGGACAGUAGGAGUUUAAACUACAGAACAGUUAUCGGGAGCCAUUUCUAGUCAUGUGUGAUGGAGACAAACAUGAAAUAUAGGAAAGUAGAGAAUAAAGUCUGUAGAAUACAUGCCCAACAUUUUGACUUUGCCACACAGCAAAACAAUUCAUGCUUGAGAAAUAAGUAAUUAAUCUUACUCUCCUUUACUCCCAAAUCUUACAAUAUGUUAAGUAACUUUCCAAUUUUCUGUUGAGCUGUACUCUUUUAACUACAUGCUACCUGUGGGCUGCAGGCUGGCAUAUUAUUAGUAAAUCAAUAACAACAACAAAAACAGCAACAACAAACUCAGAAGAAUUUUGUUGUGAGCAGCCUGGAGUAUUCUAAUAUAGUAAAGUAUAAUGCAAAAGAAAAAGACAUGAGGAAGCUAUCAUUGUAAGGCCAUUUGGAUUUGGGGAAUCCUAGAGAAGUAGGGAAUUAUGUCACUAUGCCACAGUGAUACAGAGUUAACAUGACCUGGCUUCUGAGGUAAAGUUUGAUAUGCAACAUUUUGUGCUACUCAAGGUGGACUUUCUUGCACAGUCUGUGAGAAUAGCACCCCUUAAGCACAACUUGCAGUUUUAGAGUUGAAUCUGGAUCUACAUUAGAUCUGGGAUUCCAGACUGUAUAGAUUUAAGUCACAUCUUUCAUCAACCCAGACACCCAACUGAGACCUCAGAGUCCAUGGGUAAAUUAAGUGACUAUUACAGAGGUUCUCCAUUUCCAUCUCUCUUUGUGAGGAGACUUUGGAGCCUCCCAAGGGAGGCUUCAGUUUUGGGCUCUUGCUCUCUGAGCCUGGAGCCUUGAGCACUUUUGUUGAUUCCUUCCUCUCCUGUGUUCUUGUUUAGUUUCCAGGCAACUGGUUACUUAUUAUAGAGCAAGUGCUCCUGUCAUUUCUUUCAUCCCUUGAUUUUGGGUUUUGUUUUCUAUGGUGGGGACACCAGCAGGCUGUGAUGCACUAAUGUGUGGUGACAGGACCCGGCCAUCUGACAACUGGGGCCCCAGUUCAGAACGGAGACCUUAGCACAGAUUUUGAACCAAAUUGAUCCCAUGUCUCUGAUCCAGCUGACAUGACUGUGCUCAUGUGAAAGGAAACACAUUCUCACCCCCACUAUCCUCAUGCCUUGUGUGUUUUUGAUAUCCUCAAAUCCUUCAGUGCUCACUCCACACUGUCCUUCAUCCACACCAUUUGUAAUCAAGCUUACACUGUAUCAUAGCAAGAUCAUCUGAGGUUAAUGAGCUCAGUAGCCCAUCUAUUCUUCCAAUCCUGAUAGAUUUUGCUGAAUGUUUUUUAAAUAUAAACAUGAAGACAAUCACUUUAUUAUCAUAAAAAUUUAAAGUGUACAUAUACUAGAAAUGUUGGGGCAUGGCAAUAUCCAGAAAAACUUACCUUAAAUCCUACAUUCAUCUUUAUAUGCUACAGGGUUUCAUGUGUACUAGACCGGCCUCCAAUGCUAACUUCCUAUCUAUGCAAAGCUCCUGACUCUACUCCAGAAUGCCAGGGUGAGAGUCACAUCCCACCAUGACUAUGUAUUAGUGAGAUUGAACUCAGGCCUCCUGCCUGCUAGGCAAGCCCUCUUCCAACUGAGCUCCUUGCUUACUUCACUUAUUUUAUCAAUAAAAAUUAUAGUGUCUUUUAAAGACAUUUCAAUGAUAUUCAUUUUAUAUAUUUGAAACAAAGUGUACUACUAGUGGAAUCAUAUUUUAAUAUAACAGAAUUAUCCAUUUAUGCUCCCGUGUAUGCACCAUCACUGUCAAGAUAACAAUUGGGUCCCCAGAGCUGCCUAAUACCCAUCUUUAGGCCCUGCUUGUGGUUGGCAAUUAUUUACUUCCUGUCGCUACACAUAUUAUGUGUUCUUAUGUACUUCUUCCACUAAAUGUUAUGGGAAGGACUUUGGUUCAAUCAUCAGGACAUGGGCUAUGAGAAAAAUGUCCUGGGGUCUCAAUAUCUGGCUUUAGUUGUUGAUUCUUUGAUAUAUCCUUUCAGCCCUUAAGCUGAGAUUCAGAAGUGGCUCUGUAGGGCAGCUAUGUGCAUAUAGCACUGAGUCCUAUAUACUUUUUGUUAGAGAAAGUUCUUUCUAAGACCCCAGUGACUAUCAUUUCUUAAGAAAGUAGUUGGUUCAUUCUCCUCAAGGAUUCUCCAAGUGAACAUGGCUCACUGCAUCAACUAAGCAGGGAACAUGUGAGCUUACAGAGACUGAAGCAGCAAGCAUAGGGCCUGCAUGUGUCUGCAUCAUGUUCUCUGUGUAUAUGUUAUGACUGUUAGCUUGGUACUUUUGUGGGACAGCUAGCAGUGGGAGUGUGUGUAUCUCUGAUUCUUGCAUGAUCUUGUGACUAUUAAUUUGUCUUGCCCAGCUUCAUUAUGAGGGUUUAUUCCUAGUAUUUUUUCAUCUUGUUAUGCCACGUUCAGUUGAUUUCACUGGGGAGCCUGCUCUAUUCUGAAGAGAAAUAGAGGGGAGAGUGUGUGGGUCAGGGGUAAAGGGAUGUAGGAUGUGCUGAGAGGAGUACAAGGAGGAGAAACUGGUCAGGAUGUAUUGUGUAAGGGAAGAAUUAUUUUCAGUUGAAGAAGGAGAAAGGAGGAGGAGGGGAAGGAGGAGGAGGGGCAGGAGGAGGAAGGGGAGGAGGAGGAGGAGAAUUCUUCAAGUCCAGCUGCUUUCUAUAGAGAAUUCAUUUGACCCUUCAUUGAAUUUUCUAGAUACGUCAGCAAACACAUAGUUUAUCCCUUCAAAUCAUAACAUUUUUGCAAAGAAUCAGGAUUCUUGAUACAAAUUAUUAUAAAAUUAGAGAAAAAAUUAUUCCUAGGGAAAGACUGUGUAGCUAGAAAGGUUAAAUCAGACACUGUCAGACCUACAAGCUUCUUCCAAUAGCCAUCUUACAUGGAGAAUGAGCUUUUGACAUGUGUGUCUCCAGAGAUUGGUGGUAAAAAAGAAAGAGGUCCAUAAAUCAUGGAAAGAACUGCUCCUGCGAACAGCUUCUGGGGAAAACUCUCUCCAGAAAGUGCAUUAGCCUCUGCUUCCUGCAGGGCUCACAUGCUGUUGACUCUAGACCUUCAAUGUUGAUACCUGUGUGCUCCUUCACAGAUUAAUACAGGUGAGGUCCUGAUCAUUGAUCUCUGUCCUUCCUGACGACUUACAUUUUAGCUCAAUCCUUUGUUGUCUAGUAAACACACACUGGAUUUGGAGGAUGAAACAGAGUUCAGCUGUCUUUAGGACAUUUGAGCGCUUCAGAAAAGAAAUGGAGAAAAGUUUAGGCCAUGGAUACAUGGAUACCAUUGAAGCCACAGAUAGCCUCAUGAUAGACCUUUGAAAGCAAGUCUUGCAGAUGCAACUAUGUUAUUAUCGUUUCUGGUGCCCAAACUCUUAUCUGUUAUUUCUUAAAACAAUUUCAUUUCUACUUCAAGCCAGUAUUUCUAGGCUUCUUUAGGAUGACUUAAAACAGAUCAGUGAUUUGUUUGUUUCUCAAAACUUCAACUCUGCCACAUUCAAAAUCCCCUUUUGCUCUCAGUACCUCUAUAAUAAGAAAUUAGAGCAGUAUUGAAAGGAAACCACCAGUUGCUCAUAUAUAAUAUUUUGAAAUCUUUGUACCUCUCACUUAGAACAAAACUGUUAGGCUUAAAAUGAUGACAGUUAAAUUUUAGGGAUUGUUUUCUUCUACAUUCAUCAUGGAACACAGUCAGCUUCAUCUCUCUCAAUUAAAGGAAGACGUACAUAGCACUGAGACAAAAAUAGGUUCCCAUUCUUGGCAUCGUAGUUGUGGAAGCCUGACUGAGGCUUAGAAAGGCAACUCAGGAAUGAGGAGACCUACAGGAGCUAGCCAUGGCCUUGUGCAGGCUGCUCCUAUGUCUCCUGCUCUUAGGGAAGAGACUUAGGACUCAGAAGGCUUUCCCAGAGCCUCAUAGGAAGACUUGGUGUUCUCCACCUCCUCUAUGAGCUGGAGCCACUGGCCUAGCUUGAACUGAAGGCAAGUUCCCCAGACUUCCUCCUUAACUUGCCUACCAACCCCCUGUACCCACUCAUUAGUCAGGCCCAAUUCUCUCCUUACCUCUACUUCCAGGGAAGCUCCUUGUUUCACCUUAUUCUAUAUUGAAAUCCUAUAUACAAAGGAUUUUCUUUUAUGUUUUCUUAAGUAAUAUUUCAAUAUUUUAGUUUUGUGACCUCUCAUCUGACAUUUAAGUAUGUAGGCAUAUCUCUUACAUUUGUUUGAUUACUGCACCUCUGACCAAGAAUGAUAAUGGAGUCCAGUGAUGGUUUAAAUAGAUGGUGAUUGUCUUGAAGGGAAAGACCAUGUCUGAAUAAUCUUUGUACCCUACCCUAUGUUCUUAAAACAUAGCAGGGGCCCACAGCAUAGUCAGUGAGUACAUGACAAACUUAUCCUCUUUGCUAAUGAAGAAUGCCAUAGUCCUUAUCUGCUUGUAGCUCAAAUGAAAGCUGACCUCAGUCAAUCUGUAGUGAUGAACUAUAUGUAAAAUAUUGCAUCUUGGACCCACUACUCACUAUGUGUCUUAGAAAAGUCUUGCAUCUUGAACCUACUGCUAUGUAUCUACUGCAAAGCUGCAGGGGACUGAAGACUCAGAAACUUAUUAGUGUCAGCCUUCUAAUCAGAAUUUGGAUUGUGAUUUGAAAGAAUGCCAAGUUCUAUUUGAGUAUUUCUAUUUUGCUCACAUUCCCUGAGUUAUCUAGUAGCUUAAUGUUGAAUUAUACAAGACUUGAUUUAUAAGCAUAUCUCUAAUGCUAUAUGUUAUAGUUUAUUGAAAAACAAACUAACAACCAAGACUUGAGUUCUUUGGUCAACCAGAACAGACUCUUUUCUGAGGAUUAUGUUGCUUGCUGGAGGGUUCUUCUGUUGACUCACCACAGCAUUUCUCAGGAUAGCCAAUUCUGAGAGUGCUGUAGACAAGACUGCAAAUGGUUCCCCUUAGAACAAGAGAAAGGAUUAGCACCUUCAGUCCUGCAGAAUCUGUUCUGGCUGGGAGGGGGUCUGCCAGGAUGGAGUACUCCUGCUUUCACCAUUUGUGUUUCACAUUUAAAAACUGGGCUACUGAAUCAUGUUUUACUCCCCAAAUAUCCAAAACCGUGAUCGAUUCAGUGGCAACUGAGAAGAAACAUCCCCAUUAACUGAUAAACUUUUGUUAAACAGAGCAAAAUGCUAUCCAUAUUUCAAAGGUUAAUAAAUAUCAAUGGGUCUUUACUAGGGAGAUGGUGGUGAUAAUAAUGUUACAUACUGUUAUGGUCUGAGAAUUUAGAAAUAAUCCACUGUGAAAACCAAGUUUGAGCCAAUAAAGUUUCUUUAUUCAAAAAACUGAUAUAUUAGGGAAACAGGUGGGUUCAGGAUCAAAACAUUGUCAUGGGGUGGGGGAAGACAGAGCAACCAUUUAAAACAAAGCAGAGCAAAGCAGAGCAGAGCAGAGCAGAGCAGAGCAGAGCAGAGCAGAGCAAAGCUCACAAAUUAGUUGGGAUGUGAGCAACCAGUUGGGUAGAUUCAUAUGUUGUAAAUUUCCAACCAUUUCCACACCUGGCACCUGAAGUGGCUAAUUAUCUAUUGAGUACCUCAGACAACUUUUAUGAUAUCUUGGCCUGGAUUGAGGCCAAGCAGAGCCUCUUUAUCAGCUGCUAGGUUUCAGUUCUGGCUGGGUCCUAAGCAACAAAACAUACAGUAAGGUAUUCUCUUGAGGUACCUGGGACCAGAAGCUGUUCUAGAAAAUCAGUUAUUUCUUAGAAUGCAGUCUAGUACAAGGUGGAAACUAUAUACAGGAUGUGAUCCCUGAGACUAAAGUGGUCUCUAAGAAUAUUAGUGAUUUUUCUCCUAGUAUUGAAUAGAAGCUAGUGCUCCCUGAGAGUCCCAACUUGGUGUUGGGACUCUGCUUGCUUAUUUAAUGAUUUCAAAACUAUGUCAAGAAUUCAAGUGAGAAAAACUGUUCUUUGUAUAUAUGUCACUCAAGUUUUCCCCAAUAGUCAGUCUUAAAAAUGUACUUCCAUUAUUUGCAGAAUCUGGCUUUACUUAACUUACCUAGUCUCACCAUACCAUUUGCUGAGGAUUUUCAAGUUCUUCCAGGCUAUUACAAACUACACUGUUGAUUUUCAUAGUGUGGAGCCUGGGUUUAGUCCAUGCUUAUUUCUUUCCAGGUUUGAACAAUAUUCUUGUGCUGGAUUCUUCUAACUAGUGACAUAUGGUUAAGAAUAUGGCUUAUGUAAAAUUAAGUAAUAGACAUAGUAUGUGUGGAAAACUUUGCUCCACAGUGGCACAUAUUUGCACUGAUGGAAAAUUCUCAGAAGGUGACACUCAUUCUGAAUUCCUAGAGUCACACAUGAAGAGGCUCUCCACAAGAAACUUAGAGCACAGGAAACAGUCAAGGCAUGAUUCAGAGUAGUCAUGGUUGAGUGGUCCAGGUAUCAGAAGUAUCAGAAGACAGGUCAUACUGUGAAAAUUAUAAUUUUUAAAAUAUUCAAGAAGAUUUAUUGUAAACAUGUUAAUGGCACCAUAAUAUUAAUAUAUACAAUAGAAAAACUAACAUUUAUUAAAGACUUCUUUGUGCUAGGUAAGAUCCUAGAAGAGACACAUUGAAAUCUCCUCAAUCAAUACCAUGUUUACUUAUAGGCCACACAAUGCUCUGUGCACAGGUGUAGGAGCAGUAAAUAAUACCCAGAUUCUCUUCUUGUGGAACUUACAUUCUGAUAUGACAAAUGCAAGUUCAUUAUUCCCCCUUUUCAAAGUGAAAGGAAACAGUUUAAAAUUGCCCCCUAGACAAAAGUUGAAGCCAAAAGCAGGCCCUGGAACUGCCUAUUCCAGGAACUAGCUGAUCACAGAAAGAGUAAUUGCACCAGCUGGUUCAGCCACUUUGUUCCAGGAACUAGCUAACCAUAACAGCAGCUGACCAUAAUAGCAGGAACUGGUUAACCAUAAAGUUAGAUUAAAAUUUUAAAGAACAAUCAUGAGAAACAGGAGGUUCUUCCUUGUGAUUCGAUAUGGUUUUUCCUUUAAAUACCCCUUCUUCCAACCAUUUAAAGUCAAACUCCUCUGCUUCUGUGUGGGAUAUGAGUCUCUACCCCAAUGCACUGGUUUCUGUAGUCCCUGUCAAUAAACCUCCUGUGAUUGCAUCAAGAUUGGUCUCUUGUGAAUUCUUGGGGGGGGGUCUCGUCAUCCCGAGACCUGAGUGAGGGUCUUCCCGCUCCUGGGGUCUUUCAAAAGCAUUUACUACCUCUCUAAGACAUCUGGAUCUAUAAAUUGAAAAACAGGUAAAACAUCAAUAGUAAAUAUUUUCAACAACAGAUGUAAGAAAUGUUGCUAGGAGUCUUCAUACAAUGUGGAAGGAGCUCUUCAUAACCAAGAAACUUUCCUUCAACUCCUCUUUUUGAUAGCUCCUUCAGCCAAGAAGUCAUUGCACUUUAUUAUUAUUAUUAUUAUUAUUAUUAUUAUUAUUAUUAUUAUUAUCUCCAUGCAAUAAGCAUAAUAAUGACUUUAUAAGUACAUGCUGAUGACUAAAUCAGAAUAUAUGUGUACAUCUCUUUAUAGAGUGGAUAAGGUGGCAUGAAUCCAUGGAUGCUGUAACAAAGUAGGACGUUUGAUUGGUGCCUCCAUGGAUAGCAAGCUACAACUGACAGAGAACAAAAGAUGACUUGUUUAUCAAGGAACAGUCUUGAUGGGAGACAUGACUUUGGAAGAGCACAGACUCUGGAGUACAGUGAGCUGCACAAUUUGGAUGUAAUAGUGAGUUCAUGCAGAUAAGCAAGACAAAAGUCAACUGGAAUGAUAAGUAGCCCUUGGAUUAAUCACAAAAGAAUUUAUGGAAGUCAAAACAGAUCUCCCACAUAGACAGUGAAAGACAGUAUAAUUAGGUUAAUUAGCCAAGAUUGUAUCACUAACAGAAAAAGCAGAAUUCUGACAUCCAUCUGGCUCUCUCUCUCCUCGAUGGCCUUCCAGUUGUUAAGACAGUGUCUUAUCAUCCCCAUCAAUUUAUAGCUGAACGACCAUAGCCUGAUAGACAUUCCUCAUAAUAUAUAGCAUCUUUUCCACCCUAUCCUCUAGUUUAAGUGUUACAUUCAAGGCAAGAAAAAGUAAUUCUAAAAGCAAUUGGGGGAAUGAAAAACAAGGGGCCAUUUCUCAAAAAUGAGAUGGUGCUUUGCAAGAAUGAACUAACUUUAUGAUGCCAUCUGGAAAAUGUUUUAUAUUCCCAAUACAGUGCACUGAGCAUAAAUUAAAUUUGACUCACCAGCUCUGAGAUGCUUUUCUGUACCUUUCCAUAUGGAUGUGGGUCUACAGUAGUAGGUUAUUAGUCCUUGGUCAGGGCAUCUGGUGUGACUUCUCAAAAUAAAAAAAAAAAGAUUGUUGGGUGACUUCCAACAGUGCACAUUAAGUUAACUUUCAAAACUUUUCAGGGUUGAGCUGAUUGAGCUUGUUAGGAAAGAAACUACAUUUAGCUCUAAGACAGAGACUCUCCUUACCUUCCUGUGCUCUCUCUCUCUCACUCCUUUUAGCUCUUCUUUCUCACGUUUAUCAAGUACACACAAGGCAAUGUAAAAAUCUCAGACUUCAGAAUCUCAAAUGGUUUGAGCCUGCUACUGUCCAUCACACUCCUGCUGCUUUUUGUUUGUUUUUCAAUACAGAUUUCACAGUGUGGCCCAGGCUGUCUUGGAACUUGUUUUGUAGACUAGGCUGGCCUUGAACUCAGAGACCCUCCUGGCUCUGCCUCUGAAGCGCUGGGAUCAUAGGUGUCACACCUAGUGACGUCUUGCUGCUUUAAAUGACAGAUGUUGAGCAGUUCCUUCCAUACUAACGGCAGUCUUCAAUCUUUUGACAAAAUUAUUUACAAUUGGAUUUUGGAAUUACAAACUGAAAAAAAAAUCUUCCUCAAAUUUUGUAAUGGACCCAAUGUUAAGACAAGUAGAAAAGGUUUUGACUCCUAAAUAAAAGAAACUUCCAUUAAUUUGGCUAGGAAUUCAGGCAAAACUAACUUUGCUUUAUAAAAAGGUUCCAAGGAAACUUCUAAAGAGGAACAUUUAAUUUUCGGCAAAGGGUAAAUUGCUAUCAAACAAUUAAAAGCACCAGUUUAUGGGAAAACAACUGAUAUGUUAAAUACCAACCAUUCUUCUCUGUUUAUUGAAGGACCUUCUCAAUAACUUUUCAUGACAUUUAAUUAGCUUAACUUGAAUUGCUUAAUCUAAUUGAAAUGACUGGAAUUGUGUUUCUUUUAAAAAUUAUUAAUUGAAACACCCUCCCCCAUUUAGUCUAGAAACAGUGGUAAUUUAUAAAAAUCUAUUCUUUGACAUCAAUUCUAAUGGUGAGAGCACAAGUAAAGCAGGAGAAUUGAUUUGGUGGCUUGUUAGUUAUUUGAACAAUUUCUCCCUAUUCUAAUGUCAUUUAACAUAGUUAAUUUAUGUUAUGUGUGAGUGUAUGCAUGUGCAUGUGUGUGUGUGUGUGUGUGUGUGUGUGUGUGUGUGUGUGUGUGUGUGUGUGUGUCCCUACAUGAAUUUAUGUACAUCCUAUGUGUGCAGGAAAACAUAGAAACCAGAAGAGGUCCCAGAGUAAGAAUUAAAGGCAAUUGUGAUCUACCUGAUAUGACUAUUGGGAACUGAAGCUGGGGCCACUAAAUGGAUGGGCAAUUAAGUUCUUUUAACUGCUGAGCAAUCUCUUCAGACCUUUAUCUGCAUAUUUAUUUGACAUGGGAAACCUCCUCACCAUCUGGCCUGAAAGAGUAUAGCCAUUGCACUGACAAGACAUUAAAGAUCGAGUUUGGCUGAUAGGCUGCAUUUUAAAUCAAAAAUAUGAUGAGGGAGAGCAAAGCUUGAAAUAAACAUCUGAAAUUAAACAAUUGAAAGUGAAAUGAAGAUAGAUAUUUAUCUAGCAGACUAGACUCCUUGCAUGUUUAGUGUGCACCAGAUGCUGUUCUGUAUGUGUGAGUGUGAGUGUGAGUGUGAGUGUGUGUGUGUGUAUGUGUGUGUGUGUAUGUGUGUGUGUGGUCCAUUCUGUGCACACACAUUCCAUUAUUACAAUUGUUAUUCCUGAUGUAGACAUUUUUAUAACUCCAAUCGACAAAUGAAGAAUGGAGUCACAGAUGGGUUGAUUGUCACUGCAGGGCCAGGAGCUGCUGCCAGACUUGAUUUUAUAAGUGCGUAUAGAAGCAGAGUGGUUGGAGUGCGGGAAACUCAGCCUUGGAGUGUCACUCAGGGUAAGGGCAUGGAUUUCUCAUAUACUUCUCAGCAUUCUCAGUCUCCUAUAGGCUUCAGGAGGGUGGAGGGUCCCAGGCAUCUCUGCUAGUCCCCUUUCCUCAUCUGCAGUUUCUCAGGUGACCUCCUCCAUCUUUACUCUUUUACUCAGCAUCUCUGACUUCCAGCUCCCAAUCUCCAAUGACACUCUCCAGGACUUCCUUCAGAUGCCUUGUUGUCCUCUUGUGGUUUUAUGCCACAACUGUCAGACAACUUAAAAUUAUAUAACCUCAAAUGGCAUAGCAUACUUGAUUUGUCUCCUUCAAAUUGAUUUUCUUUUCUAGUUUCAUGAAGUGAUAUAGCCCCCAUCCUUCACAAGAAACCCAAGAUUCAUCCUAUUUUACACAAACCUUUUCCACUUUAGCUUUGGGUCAGUCAGUUCUACGUUUCUAUAACAAAAUUCCUGAGAAAAUCAGAGCAGAAAAACUGACUAUGGCUCCUGGUUUCAGAGGUCUCUUCUGUGCUUGCCUGGCUAGUGGGUUCUGGCCAGUGGUGAAGUGGCAUGAGGAAAGAUCAUGGUGGUGGAAAGCUACAUCAUGGCAUCCAGGAAGCAGAGAGAGGGUCAGGAAGGGUCUUGGGAUUAGUUACAUCCUGCAAAGGGACAUAUCCAGUAACUUACUUCCUUCAUCCAGGCCCCACCACCUUAAUAGCCUAUUUAGUAUAAAGGCAUCAAUUGAUUAUGUUCUAAUUACUGCUCAAUAGGGAAUCAAUCCUUCAACACAAGAGCCUUUGCCAGAUAUUCUUAAUACUCAAAGCAUAAAAGGGUUGGACUUUUCCCAUCCACACUCACCCAGACUAUGCCAAACCACUCUCUGUUUUGUUUGAUGACAUUAGGAAUCUCUCACCAACUAUUUUCCUUUCUGGCCUGCCACAUAAACCUACUGUCUGGCCAGAAACAGGGUCUUAAUUUUAUAAUAUAUCCCAGAUCAAUUUACUCUACUUAAAACCUCAAGUAUCUUCCCACUGUGUCUAAAUUAGACUCAAGUGCUCAUUCAUAAAACCAUGCAUUAUCUGGGUUCUACCCAUAUCACUAACUUCAUCACAACCAUUAGUUUUCUUCCAUAUACUUUUCCAUCCAUUGAGUGUCUAACUUAGGUCUGAUAUUUUCAAGCCUACUUCUGUUUUGGAGUUUUGCCUAGCUUUUCCUCCUUGUAGACUCACUAUAUAGUGGGGCUCUUGUGUUAAUUUCUACUGUAAAUGCCAUCAUUUCAAACACAAACAUAAAACAAACAAAAAUACAAAACUUUUCUGAUGUGACACAGUUCCAUCAAGGCAUCCCUUUUAUUCUUUACACUGAGUUAUUUAUAACCUGUUUUAAUUUUAUUCUCCCUCCAUGCUAAGGGUUGUAUAGCUGUUCUUCUUCAAAGCUAGUUCGUUAUUGUUGGCUUUUCACUGCCAACUAGAAUGGAGUGGUAGGGAAGGUUUUCCCUUUCACAGGUGGAUACACCUUUUGUAGGCCCUGUUCCUGGACACUUCCAUUGGCAGUCUCCACCCCUAGAUGGAGAAGCAGCGCCUGAUCCCACAAGGGCCAAGCCAGAGGUCAGACCCCAACCCUGAGGAGCUCCAAUGACUAGGCCUUGUCCCUGAGGAGCUCCAGUGGUCACACUCUGAGACUUCUCUUACAGUUGUAAUUGUUGUCCCCAGCCCCAGCCCUUGAGGGAGGAGAGUGGCUAGGCCUCACCACUUCCAAAAAAGAAAAAAAAAUCCCAUCAAUCCCUGAGCUUGUCCCAAGAUCAGCUUUAAAAUCCCAGGGUAUCCUAGAAAGUACCCCCUGUGGCCCCCCUGCAAAGAAUUUGUAUAUGAACCUCGUCUUCUGCUCAGUUCUCUGCUGCUUCUAGACUUAGUAGAGGCAGAUGCCCUCCUGUGUUUUUCCCCCAAUGCAAAUAUUACCAGCUCUAAAUUGAAAGGUAUCCUGGUAGUUGGGAACCAAGGAAACCACAAAAUCACACUGCAUAACACAUCCUCAGAGUUAUUAGGAGGGACCUUUAGGAAGUAGAUAUGGUGAGAGGUUUUAAGCUAUUCUGGGUGUUAGAUAUAAUAAUGGACUCCUGGACAAAUCACAUCACACCAGCACAGGUCCCACGUGAGAGGCUUUAUUAUCAGAGAUACCUGUGGGUGAUGAAAGGGAAGAAGUGAAGAAUCAAGAGCUUCGAUGGGCCGGGGUAUGUGUCUUUUUAUCCAGGAUGUGACACAGGUAACACAUGCGCAGAGGUGUGUGCGACGGCUGCCAUGGCAAUGGACACAGGAGCAGCACUGUCUCCUAGAGAUGAUGUCUUUGCUGGGUUUAGGAGCUGGCUGUAAACAGCUUCUGGCUGUCCAUGGAUGGUCUUGAUGCUAACACUGUUCCUUAUUUUCUUAUAAAGAAUCGAAAAAUGGGAGGAAGGCCAAUGGGGGGUGGGGGGCGGUCGGAUCUUUUAGCCUGCUUUCUGCUGUUUAGAGAUUUCAUCAAUUUUGGGGUGUAGCUGACUUUCAGCACCAGGGUCCACUUGAUAGUCAAGUGGGCCAGACUUCUCUGUGAACAGUGGCUGGUAAUCCUCUAAAAGGAACUGAUUAAUUGGUUAGCAAUUUUUUGAAUUUAUCAUCGGAAGAAUGUGGAGAUGAGGUUAAUGAGACAGGGGGCAAAUAGUAAAGCCAGGGAAAUGAGAAGAGGCAUUAAGAAGGGCAGUAUCCAUUUCCAUAUAGAGUUUUCAAAAAGCCAGAUAUUAGAGGCCUUACAUUGUUUCCUACAUCUCUCAAUAUGAUUGUAGCUGCUGGAUUAUUUUUUCUCACUAUCCCAGAUUCAUUGACAUAGAAACAACAUUCUUCUUGGAGAGACAGACAAAGAACAUCUUUAAUUGUAAGGACAUCUAGUCCCUAUCAGUUCUAAAGUACCACUGCUGCCAAAGAAUCCAUCUACUUUUGGAUGGUGAGAUAAUUUGGGUUCCUUCUUGAAGACCAUUGUCAAAUUGAGAAGAGAACUUAUUGUAUAGUCAGUCCUGCUAUUCCAGUGCCAGCACCUACAGUUAUUCCUGAAUUGACCAGGAAUGGCAAGACCUGAACUGCCCUCUUGUUAUGUUUACAAGGCAUUGUGUUUACAACUGGGAUUGGUAGAGGUCUUUUGUGUGUGUGUGUGUGUGUGUGUGUGUGUGUGUGUGUGUGUGUGUGUGUUGCUCCUAAUUCAGGGAAAAAGAACACCAAGAUGAAAACUCCUGACCAACUGACUGCCAGGUAGAUGAUGAUAUAUCUGAGUGCCAUAGAUAAUUGAUGUGUUCUGGACUGCAGGAGACUGUGGUAUCAAGGGUUCUGGUUCUACUGCAAUCUAGGGAGCUUAGCAUUCCUACAGAUUGUGUCCCAUGUGAUUUAAAACAGUCUGCCACACCAAAAGGAGAGAUAGAGAAAAUGUUUGGGGUCAUGGCAACAUCAGAGUUGGGGCAGCUGAUAAAAGCUGAGGUGAGGUUGCUCCGCAGGAUCACUGGAGAAGUAAGUACUUUUUAGUUAGUUAGUUUAGUUAGUUAGUUUAGUUAGUUAGCUUAGUUAGUUAGUUACUUUAGUUAGUUAGCUUAGUUAGUUAGUUCCAGGGUGUAUACAUAGUCAGUAAUCUUUAAAAUGACCAGGUCAAGUGAUGUUAAGCAGUUGGCAGGCUGAGGUCAGGGUCUGAGGCAGAAGGCAAAAUGACAGGUUAGUACCGUUUAUGAGGGGGGGGAUGUCAAGGAAGUAAGAACCUCAGAAGAAUGCUUGAUUACUUCUAUUUUUUCUAUAUGUAGAGGUUGGACAAUUGAAACACAUUUUCUCUGGAUGUGAGUAGUACUCAGUGGGACCCAGAUUGGUUUUUAUGAUAGAGCUUACCAACAACACUUGUUUCCCACAUGGGAUUCCAUGGGGCUUGGAUAUAGACGAAGAGGGUUUUGUGUUGUUGAUAGAAGAAGUGAUUGGUUGGUUUGUAGUCCUGUUAUAUGUAUCUGGCAAGACCAAUAUGGACAGUCUCCAUAUUCAUCUGGUCAAAGAGGAAGCAAACAAAGGAGUUUUACCCAAUCGAGGUGAGGUUCCUGUGAUAGUUUGACAAGUAGUUUUUAGGGAGUGGUUAGUUCUUCUGCCUUUUCUGAAGACUAGGAGUGAUAGGUAAUAUGAAAAUUCCAGGGGAUUUCUAGAGCUUUAGACAAAGUUUGAGAAAUUUGGGAAGUGAAUUCAGGGCCCUUGUCUGACUAGAGGGAGGCUGGAACACCAAAUCAGGAAAGUAUCUCAGAGAUCAGCAGAGACUUUCUGAGCUCUCUUGUUGGUGGUGGGGAAUGCCUUCGCCCACACUGAGAAGGUGUCCACCAAGACCAGGAGGUUCUUGAUACAGCUGACAGUGGACAUAGCCACCUGGUUCUAGGAGGGGAACUUCUAGUCUGAUGGAUAGAAAAAGGGGUGCUACGAUACCUGGAGUUAGAGUCUGACAUCUGACAGAUUUUGCAAGAGGCAGAUAUAGAUUUUAAGAAACAUAAGUCCUUAGGAGUAGGCUGUAGGUGGGUUUUUAUAAAAUAAGACAAGUAGCUAUUAGGAUGGUGAAGAAAGGACAGAGUGUCUGGGGGUGAGAGAGGAGGGGUUGUGGGUUGUAGUGGAAGAAUGUCCUGGGGAGAGUGAGAUGAGUCUAGGAUCCUAAAGGCCACAGCUCAAGCUGCCUCAUCUGCUCAGGUUUUUCCCUUGGAGACAAUACAGUCAGCUGUCUGGUGGGAUCUACAGUGGACAAUUCCAAUACCUGGGAUACCUCUCAGUCUAAUGGUCUAAUUCACAGGCUAAACUGGGCCCCUAUACCCAUCAACCAAUAACUCUACAUAGCGACUUAAAGAUGUGUUUACAACUCACCAGUGAUCAAGUGAUCCAUAGGCCCUUCCCCUUCAUUUUCUCGCUGCUUACUCUCUGCUCUUCUGCUUGCUCUCUGCUCUCAUUCCCAGCCCCAUGAUUCUGCCACUGCAGCACACUGACACCCUGCCCUGCUUGCUUGUCUCCAGUUUAUACGGAGCUGCCUCCACUCCAUAGCCCCGCACUCUUGGGCUAUGUCGGGUUCUUUGCUCUGCUGCUUGUCAAAGUCACUUAGCAAUUAAGACAAGGUUUGUAUUCUAUCUUGCCUUGGUAAAUAAUGAUUUGUAAACAGUAAAAGGUUAAAGAUCACUGCCUUAAAUAUACAUUUAGCUUUGUUUUUGCUACUGCCAUUAAACUACUUUGAGCUCUCUGUAUUUGCUAGAUACACUCUCAAACAAGUAAUUAAACAAAUGCAGGUUGUUUAACUCAGAUAUACUUAAUAGAAUAGCUCUCAAUCCUGUCCAAAAAAUCUGCUAAAUGUAAUGUUAAAUGUUUGAGCUUGUGACAGAGACAUGCAAAGCCUAAUAGAGACCCUCCAACAUCUCUGAGAAGACAUGGGCACAGCGACAAGAUUCUACCUGGAUUGUCGUUAGAUGACCACUGAGAAACACUGCUGAAUGAUUGCUUUGCCCACUGCCAGGGCUUGGCCUACACUGUGGACAAACAGAGGAUACCCAGAGAGUUAAUGUUUCAUAUUGUCCAAGUCAAGAUUCUGAAGCCAAUUGAAGCAGCCUGGAGAUGUGAGCCCACCUCAGCAACAGACAACUCACAGUAAAGUGGGCUUUGAUCCUAACCCAAUGCUGUGUUCGUUUCACUAGGCUAUGAGCUCAGCAUAUUCACAAAACAGUAUUUGUGGCACUAGGUGUGUCACAUGUUGACAUGUGAUCACGUUCGGAGGUGGCCAGAAUCCUGCAGUGCAUAACCAUAGGCCCAUGGCUGUGGAUGAAACACUUGAACCUGAAGUGUCCCAAAGGGAUGCUUAGGGGAAUGGAUUAGCCUUGUUAUGUAUGCCUCUGAUUAAUGCUGAGCAAUGUACCAAGAGCAGGUUUGACAUAAUUUGAACUUGGAUUAUCCUUCAGUGUCACAAUAACAACAACACAUCAACAGCAGACUUAUAGAACCCUGGCUUUACAGUGUCAUCUAGAUUUAGAGUAGAGGAUUGAUUUACAGGGUAGAAGAGGAUAAUAGACAGCUAGAAAAAUCACCAAGGCUAGAACAUACGCCUGAUCCUUUAAUGCCCAGAUGGCAUGCGCAUCAAGCUUCAGGCAAUUUUGAUCUUAACUGAUAGUCAAUAUAAGCUGCCGGAAGCUGACCAAAGGUAACUAGUGUGCAUUAAUUUCUGGUUGAGAUCUUUUAUGGCAGCUCAACCCCACAAACAGAUAAUAAUUUGAAGCUUAGUAAGU